RNAcentral lists this ribosomal RNA (699 nucleotides) under uncultured bacterium. Its description in RNAcentral is "bacterial SSU rRNA". It matches the Rfam family "Bacterial small subunit ribosomal RNA", at positions 8 to 696 of the family's 1533-position model. The record is from RNAcentral.
AGAGUUUGAUCCUGGCUCAGAUUGAACGCUGGCGGCAUGCCUAACACAUGCAAGUCGAACGGUAACGACGGGAGCUUGCUCCCGGGCGACGAGUGGCGGACGGGUGAGUAAUACUUAGGAAUCUGCCCAGUAGUGGGGGACAACUCGAGGAAACUCGAGCUAAUACCGCAUACGCCCUACGGGGGAAAGCGGAGGAUCUUUCGGGACUUCGCGCUAUUGGAUGAGCCUAAGUCGGAUUAGCUUGUUGGUGGGGUAAAGGCCUACCAAGGCAACGAUCUGUAGCUGGUCUGAGAGGACGAUCAGCCACACUGGGACUGAGACACGGCCCAGACUCCUACGGGAGGCAGCAGUGGGGAAUAUUGGACAAUGGGGGCAACCCUGAUCCAGCAAUGCCGCGUGUGUGAAGAAGGCCUGCGGGUUGUAAAGCACUUUCAGUAGAGAAGAAAUGCCCAUGGUUAAUACCCGUGGGUCUUGACGUAACCUACAGAAGAAGCACCGGCUAACUCCGUGCCAGCAGCCGCGGUAAUACGGAGGGUGCGAGCGUUAAUCGGAAUUACUGGGCGUAAAGCGCGCGUAGGCGGUUUGGUCAGUCGGAUGUGAAAGCCCUAGGCUCAACCUGGGAAUGGCAUUCGAUACUGCCUGACUAGAGUAUGGUAGAGGGAAGUGGAAUUUCCGGUGUAGCGGUGAAAUGCGUAGAUA